CCUACGGGAGGCAGCAGUGAGGAAUAUUGGUCAAUGGGCGCGAGCCUGAACCAGCCAAGUAGCGUGAAGGAUGAAUGCCCUACGGGUUGUAAGCUUCUUUUAUAAAGGAAUAAAUUGAGGCACGCGUGCCUUUUUGCAUGUACUUUAUGAGUAAGAGUCGCCUAACUCCGUGCCAGCAGCCGCGGUAAUACGGAGGGGCCGGGCGUUAUCCGGAUUUAUUGGGGUUAAAGGGAGCGUAGAUGGGUUGUUAAGUCAGUAGUGAAAGCUUGCGGCUCAACCGUAAAAUUGCAAUUGAUACUGGGAGUCUUGAGUACAGUAGAGGUAGGCGGAAUUCGUGGUGUAGCGGUGAAAUGCUUAGAUAUCACGAAGAACUCCGAUUGCGAAGGCAGCUUACUAAACUGCAACUGACGUUGAUGCUCGAAAGUGUGGGUAUCAAACAGGAUUAGAUACCCGGGUAGUC
This 460-nucleotide ribosomal RNA is filed under the name uncultured bacterium. RNAcentral describes it as "partial 16S ribosomal RNA". It matches the Rfam family "Bacterial small subunit ribosomal RNA", at positions 338 to 795 of the family's 1533-position model. The record is from RNAcentral.